AGUUUGAGUGGUUCUUCAGGUUGCUCAUAAUUCAAGUAUUUGUACUUUUAGCACUUACAACAUUCAGAGCUUCUGAUGCAAUGCGUAUGAGUCAUGUAUCUCAAAGUCUUCUUUUCUGGGAUUCUAGCCAAACAAGGCGAUCUUUCUUUCUUCUUUUUCUUCUCUCUCUCUUUUUUUUUUUCUGUAGAAAGAGAAGUCACUAUCUGAAAGGAAAGUGCCUUAAAUUUGAAACCUUGCCCUCAGGUGAAGCCGUUCCACUACUGAAAAGUCUUGUGCUAUUAAUUGUUUAAAUAAUAGAUUAUCUGAAGGCCUGCAUGCUUCUUAGAAACAGAAUGAGAGAUUUGGGUGUCAGCACUGAUUCCAGAAGUUCCAGAGCCUAAAAUGACUCACAAAAAUACAGGAUGAGGAGAGGAGCAAGAGCAGUUCCAGUUGCCAGCUCUGGGAAUUCAAGCAGGGAAUGAGACUGGGGCUUAGUACAUCCUCACAAGUACAAGGCUGUGCAAUUCAGAUUGUCUCCUCAUUACACAUGGGGAAGAGUCACGCUGUGAUGCCAACUUCUUUCUUACAAAAUGGAUUGGAUUGCCAGAUUGACAGUGUAUUAUGAAAAAAAACCAGAAAUGCAAUCAAACCCAUCAGAUGCAGAGAACAGAUGUAAUUUCUAGAUUAACAGAGGACACGGGGCAGAGGUGUGCGAAGGAGAGCAGCACCCUCCAAGGCCAAAGUGUCACGGCGGGUUGACAUGAGCUCAGCCAGACCCAAUCUGUGCUGCCCCUGUUUCAGAGGUGGGUUCACCAGGACCAGAGAGCUGGCGUGACCCAAGGUCACAGCAGAAAGCGGAGAGUGAAAUCUCCUGGCUGUCCGCUCCGUGCUGUCCUCUCGCAUCACCUAUUGCUCAGGGCAUGCAGACCUGCUGCAGCCUGGUGGUCUCCAUUCUGCUGCAUAAAUAAGAAAAAAGU
Molecule: long non-coding RNA, 956 nt
Organism: Aquila chrysaetos chrysaetos
Lineage: Eukaryota; Metazoa; Chordata; Aves; Accipitriformes; Accipitridae
Exons: 4
Source: RefSeq, a predicted model, not a curated record